GCGGGAGUGGUGGAAUUGGUAGACACACUGGAUUUAGGUUCCAGCGCCGCAAGGCGUGAGAGUUCGAGUCUCUCCUCCCGCACCA
RNAcentral lists this transfer RNA (85 nucleotides) under Pokkaliibacter plantistimulans. Its description in RNAcentral is "tRNA-Leu". It matches the Rfam family "tRNA". Rfam says of the family: Transfer RNA (tRNA) molecules are approximately 80 nucleotides in length. Their secondary structure includes four short double-helical elements and three loops (D, anti-codon, and T loops). Further hydrogen bonds mediate the characteristic L-shaped molecular structure. tRNAs have two regions of fundamental functional importance: the anti-codon, which is responsible for specific mRNA codon recognition, and the 3' end, to which the tRNAs corresponding amino acid is attached (by aminoacyl-tRNA synthetases). tRNAs cope with the degeneracy of the genetic code in two manners: having more than one tRNA (with a specific anti-codon) for a particular amino acid; and 'wobble' base-pairing, i.e. permitting non-standard base-pairing at the 3rd anti-codon position. The record is from RNAcentral. Lineage: Bacteria; Pseudomonadati; Pseudomonadota; Gammaproteobacteria; Oceanospirillales; Balneatrichaceae.